ACUAACUCUAAAAAUUGUGAAUUACUUAGCUACAAGCUCAUAUACUUUUGCAGCAUGUAUAAUCUCUAAUUUUUUGACAAUAUUGUACCAUGACAACUAUCUUAAGAAUUUUCAAACUCAAAUCAAGAAGUAAAGACGAAAUUCUUAAAAAUUAUUUACUUGAUUUAAGUAAAUUUUUUUUCUGUGUAUGCAGAUAAAGAGAUGGAGAUACUUGAUGAAUUCUGGCGGUAUUAAAUAGGAAGCCUGGGAAACUUCCUGAAUAUUAAAUGUUGCAAGUACAUAAAAGAGUAAGCGGAGAAUAUCGAUGGACAAAAGAGUCAUGAUGCCUUAGCUUCUGGUUCUGUUUCUGGUUGGUUGGUUCACCUUUUAUUCGAGGAUGGCCUCAAGCUUUUUAUAACAUACUUUUAAAAGUAUUUUUUAUUUUCCCUUGCCCUUGUCUAGGACGAGGCACUGUCGCCAGGGGCGAGCCGACGUGCCCAGAAUUUAAUCCAAUGCCAGCUAAAGCAAACCGCGGUGUAAAAAACCUGUUCACGAGAUCCAAUUCUCAUCUCGUUCACUACAACUACACUCAACGCUCAUCUCCGAAAUAAUAAUCGUGAAAUAGAAGAUUUAUUCUUUCUGGUGUGUAGUUCCAUUACGGGUGUAAUAGCACACUAGAAUAGUACUAAGUAGUGAGUACUGAACAUGGCUGCUUGCUGAUAUACUCUGCAUCGGGUGGAGUGUUUACAUUGGAGCUUAUCAGUUACAGUUACAAUUCGGGUGGAUUUAAGAACCAGCCAAAAUUACGGAGCUGGAUAAAUUGAACGCGAGAAGAGAUGAGAUUCCAAGAAAAUAUUUGAUUUAAUUGUUAUUAAUUGAAGAUCAAGCACGAUUGAAGGAUUCUAGCUAAAUCCAUGAUAAUUUUAAUAAUUUAAGUACACUG
This is a long non-coding RNA of Cotesia glomerata, 922 nucleotides long. RefSeq lists it as uncharacterized. The transcript is spliced from 2 exons. Lineage: Eukaryota; Metazoa; Arthropoda; Insecta; Hymenoptera; Braconidae. The record is from RefSeq and is a predicted model, not a curated record.